UAAUACGUAGGGGGCAAGCGUUGUCCGGAAUUAUUGGGCGUAAAGCGCGCGCAGGCGGCUCUUUAAGUCUGGUGUUUAAGUGCGGGGCUCAACCCCGUGACGCACUGGAAACUGGGGAGCUUGAGUGCAGAAGAGGAGAGCGGAAUUCCACGUGUAGCGGUGAAAUGCGUAGAGAUGUGGAGGAACACCAGUGGCGAAGGCGGCUCUCUGGACUGUAACUGACGCUGAGGCGCGAAAGCGUGGGGAGCAAACAGGAUUAGAUACCCUGGUAGUCCACGCCGUAAACGAUGAGUGCUAGGUGUUGGGGGUAUCAUGCCCUCGGUGCCGAAGUUAACACAUUAAGCACUCCGCCUGGGGAGUACGGUCGCAAGACUGAAACUCAAAUGAAUUGACGG
This 395-nucleotide ribosomal RNA is filed under the name uncultured bacterium. RNAcentral's name for it is "bacterial SSU rRNA". It matches the Rfam family "Bacterial small subunit ribosomal RNA", at positions 521 to 916 of the family's 1533-position model. The record is from RNAcentral.